RNAcentral lists this long non-coding RNA (13922 nucleotides) under Fragaria vesca (wild strawberry). RNAcentral's name for it is "long non-coding RNA (FVES_LNC002037)". The record is from RNAcentral. Lineage: Eukaryota; Viridiplantae; Streptophyta; Magnoliopsida; Rosales; Rosaceae.
AGAUGUUAGAGAACCUCGAUCAUAGUCGGCAGGCAAAAGGAGAGAAUUACCAGAGUAUAUCUUCGGGAGAGAAUAUGUCAUUGUCUCGAUCAAUAUCCACAAUGCAAUUCACUCAUUAGAAUACAUCAUUUGCCCCAUAUAUAUAAAUUUCAGUGAAUUCGAAAGGCAUUAAUGUCAUGAAUGUAGCUGGGUCUCAUUCAUCAUCAUGUAUACAACCAGACGACAGGCUGGGGGUUGAUUUGAACGAUUGAUAAUAUCCUACAAAGUGGUCAUAUCUGAUAUUCUGGAAACCAGAUCGAAUUUCUUAAUUCAAUCCUCGAUCGAUCAGUAAGUAAACAAUUAAAACAUCAAAGGAUUUUUCAUUGUUAAGGUUAAGGGUUUGCAAGCAGAAGUUCGGUGAACACACAGAGAUAUUUAGGAGCUGAUUUUUAUACCAACAAAAAGAUUGCAUCGAGUAGUUUCAUACUUUCAUUUAACAUGUUGAUGUUUUUCUUGGUCAGAGAGUCAGAGCCAAGUAGCUGCACACUGAUAUUAUAAUGCAGUAGCAAACAAAUGGGAUUAAAUAUGAAUCUAUGGAAGGAGGGAAAGACAUACUGGCCUUGGGAGUCAUAAAUUGCUUCCAUUGAUUGACCAAAACAAUGCAGGUUAAGUUUCUUUGAUUCUUUUGUUCGAGGAAAAAAAAUAUACAUGUUUUCUCUAACAACUUUACAAUUGGUAUCAGCUGCAUGGGCAUUUGCUCCCCUUAAUAAUCAAGCAUAUAAGUAACAAUUGCUCAAUUAUAGGUGUGGAAAAAGGAGAGGAAUAUAUAACUUCGGUUUUGUGUUUGACACAGUUGAUCUGAAGUUCUGAACUGGCAGAAUGAACCUGUGUUUUAAGUCUCUUAUUUUCAUUCAUAUUGAUCUCGAUCAAUCUCAAUGGAAUGCUUAUUAUCGAUCAGCUUUUCUUUUGCUUUGUUUCUGAUUUAGUAUUGUAUCCUUCUUAACGUACAUAGAACUAAAAGAACAUCUAAUUACUGCUUAUAAUAAUCAUCCAAAAUAAUAGAACAACAUAUUAGUACUUUUUCUUUUGUUGGCUAUCAAAACACUUGCACAUCAUAUAUUGACUUCUGUAUCUUUGAAGGCUUUAACCACUAAAAACAGUACGCCUGCACAGCAGCUGCACUCAUUUGAAUCUUGAGUCUUGACCACAAUGUGCAGUUUAAUUAUAAAGAACUAGCUUCUCAUAUGCGCAAUUAUAAUAUGGUAGAUUGAAUAAUAAAAGAAAACCCUGAGCUAAAGACGGAGCCAUCCUUUUAGACUUCACUUCAUAUUAGGUUAUUAGUAGUAUAAUUUGACAGGUCUAGCUAUGAACAAGUUCUUGCUGAUCUAGCUAGAGUUUUUCGGUUAUCAUUGUGAAAGAAUAAAUUAGUCACAAACACAAUGCUUCGGCUUGAUUUGCACGAAAAAAGUUCUUCUGCCAGCUUUACUCUAGUUGAAAUUUCCUGUAACAUAAUGCAAUAUAUGUACAAAUCUCCUCAGCAACUUAUGUACCAAUCUCUGAAUAGAAUAUGCCAAAGAUACAUUUUAUGACAAGUUCACAAAAUCUGAGAACCAUUUAUCGUGAAAUAAUUCAUACUUGAACUAAAAUGUAGAUUAGGAAUGUCACAUUGUGAGAUGUAUCACUGCCUCUUGGGUUAGUAUAGUAUUAUAGACUCCAACUUCAUACGAAUUUGGAUAUCUCAGACAGAUAUAACCCUGCCUCUUGGGUCAAUGACUUUGCUUCCCCUGGUAUCACAGUGAACAAAAGAUGGUGAAUAAUCAUGAUGAUGGGGAAUUAGAGACAUCUCAAUGUUGGGGCAACUUCACAUACGAUCAGCAAUAGAUCUCAGAUAGUUGAUCCCAGUAGGCACAUCACUUAUUAUCAGCUCAUUGGUGAUUCUGCAAUCACACCUCAAGAUUAAGAGAAAAUGGAGCAAGAACACUGUGAAGUUGAUCUAAAACACAUCUCUCUACUCCUUGACAUUUCCGGUUAUCAUUGUCCCUUGUGAUCACCAAAAGUUGUUGCAAGAACACUCACCAUUUCUAAAAUGAUGAAAACGGAUUUUAUCUCUCAUGAUAAUCUCCCUUUUGGUUGCUUUAGAGACAAAUUUACAGAAACUGUGGCAGUCAUCACAUAUCCGUAAGUUCUUCACCACUCUAAUUGAGCAUUCAGGCUGUAGACUUAGAAGACUAAAUGCAAUGGCAAGCUUUUCACUGUGAUGACUGAGUGUGGCUUCCUUUUCCUCUGUUCCCACAUCAUGGAACACAGAGUUGGUAUUAGGAGUAUAACCUAUAUUCUUCACCUGUCUUAAUAGAUCCUCCAACUUUUCAUAUAUUUUUGAUGAUUCUGGACGGAAUCUGUUACCACCAAAGAAUAUAUGGAUUUUUCCAUUAAAUUCUACAGAGCUAUAGGCAGCUACUUUCUUAGCACCUCUUUUUCUCAUUUUGAGCCUCACCUUAUCAACACAGUCCCACCUUCCAGCAGCCGCGUACAUGUUUGACAUCAAGACAUGAUAUGAACCAUUAGCAGGAUCUAAUUCAAAAAGCACAUCAGCUACAUGCUGACCCAGUUCAACAUUUUGGUGGACUGCACACGCACCCAAUAAGGCUCCCCACACCCCAGAAUCCGGUUCAAUUGGCAUACUUCUUAUGAAGUUAUAAGCCUCCUCAAGAUGUCCUGACCGACCAAGGAGAUCAACCAUACAAGCAUAGUGCUCUAUUUUCGGUUGAAUAUUCUUGUCACCGGAUUGAACCAUGCGCUUAAAAUAAGCCCUGCCUUCAUUCACCAGCCCAGCAUGGCUGCAUGCAGAUAAAACUCCCAGAUAUGUAACAUGGUUGGGCGCAACUCCACGCUCUUGCAUCCUCGAAAACAUAUCCAACGCCUUCCGGCUCUCCCCAUUCAUGGCAUACCCCAACACCAUAGUGCUCCAGGAAAUAACAUUUCUCCGAGACAUAUCCUCAAACAAAGCCUCAGCCAUGUCUACACUACCGCAUUUGACAUACAUAUCAAGCCGCGCAUUGGCAACAAUCACAUUGCAACCAAUCCCACAUUGUCUCAUAAUCCCAUAUAUUUCCUCCCCAGUCUCCAAACACCCCAACUGCCCACAAGCCGAAAAAGCACUCACAAUUGUAACAGCGUCAAGCUUCACUCCCGCCACACGCAUCCUGCGAAACAAAUCAAGAGCCUCGGCAGCAUGUCCACUCUGCACGCACGCAGCAACAAAAGCAUUCCAAGCAACUAAAUCCCUCUCAACCAUACUUCCAAAUAAAAACCGCGCCAAUCCCAACUCUCUAUUUCUCACACACAUUACCACCAUCUCCGUCCUCACUUCCGCCACAAACUCCAACCCAUAUUUCACCGCAUGCGCCGCAACCGCCAGCCCCGCCCACGGCAGAAGCUGAGCACACGCCUUAACUACAAAAGUGUACGUAAACUCGUCCGGACGGACACCUAGUCUAUGCAUUCUCCUAUACACCGCCGCCGCCUCGAUAAAGUCUCCAUCUUUCACAUAAGCCUUGAUCAUCGUGUUCCAUAGAAAUACUCUCGGCUUGUGCAUUUCGUCGAACACCUUGCGUGCAUAGGAAGUUUCCCCCAGGGCUAUGAAGCUGGUGAUGAGACGCGUGAGGAGGCUGUUCUUGACGGAGAUUCCGGUGGUGAGAAUCACGGCGUGGAGUUGCUUCAGCUGGUCUGGGUGUGACGAGCAUGACUCCAACUGCGCCGUGAAGGCUUGUUUGGUAAUCGUCACAGGAACCGGGUCGGGUUUCCGGGUCAAGUUCAAAUCCAAUUCAGCUCGAGAAGAGAACCGUGAAAUUCGGUUCCGCCAGAUCAUGCAGUGUCUUCUGGUAACUUGCAUUUGGGGGGACUCUUCCAGAUUUUUCAGAAGGGAGGAUGAGUAAAACGCUGUCGUUUUGCAUCGGCAGAUUUCAGAUAUUUUACCGGGAGAAUUGAAAGCAACGUGACUGGGGGGUGUUUAGGUAAUUUCGUAAGCGGCUGGGUAAAUUGGUCUCAGCCAAAGGAAAGGCUGGUCCAGUCCUGCUCCAGUCAUGGCUGCCCAAUCGCCGCGCGGGUGGUCAUGGAGUUCAUCCACCUACUCCACCACCGCUGCCAAGUGCUCUUCUUCCACCUCGUCGAAUCUCUCUUCGUUUUAUAUAAAACGACGUCGCUUCACCGCUUGCUCUUCCUCUUCUAAAUCUUCCGGUAGCUCCGGCGAGAAACCCGGGCCGAAAAAGCCGGCGAAAUUGGAUUUUACAGCCCCCGGUCCAACCGCAUUAGUGAAAGUCUCAAAGGGAAAGGGAUCCACAAGUGAAAAGACGAUUACAGCCCUGAGCUUCAAGCCUGGGAAGCGAUCUCUAUGGAAGAGGAUAUUCUUCGCCUCCAAGAAAGUUAGGAGCAUUCUUCUGCUGAAUGUGAUCACUGUAGUCUAUGGUAAAAGCUUAUUCGUUUUUUUUUUUUUUCAUAAUCAAGUUAAUUAUUUCGAGCUCAAAUUUGGAGUAUUUAAAGUUAAGAUGACAGUGGCUAAUGUUGUUUGUAGCAAGUAACUUCUCGAUUGUGAAAGAGGUGGAGUCUGUGAUCGACCCGGCGGCGUUUACGGUGGUGCGGUUUGCUAUGUCAGCUGUCCCAUUCAUCCCAUUUGUCAUCCGAGCAAGAGGUGAUGUGGAAACUCGUAAUGCAGGGAUUGAGUUGGGGUUCUGGGUUAGUUUAGGGUAUCUUAUGCAGGCAUUGGGACUGCUAACAUCGGAUGCUGGUCGCGCGUCGUUUCUUUCUAUGUUCACUGUGAGUGUUUUGCAUUAUGUUUGUAGGCAAUGUGUGUUAAAAGAUUGUUGUUUUGGGAGUACCUGAAGGUACUUGUUGGUAUAUUUUGGGUGAAUUUAACAGGUGAUUAUCGUUCCCUUGCUUGAUGGUAUGUUAGGAGCAAUAGUCCCUGCUCGUGUCUGGUUUGGUGCCUUCAUGUCUAUUGUAGGAGUUGGGCUGCUGGAGUCCAGUGGAUCUCCCCCUAGUGUAAGUUCUAUUACUCUUCUUAAGAUUGUAUAAGUGUAAUGCUGAUGAUAAUAAAGUGCAGAGGACCAAGUUGGGUUUUCUCUGUGGCCUGUUUAGAGAUCAGAAUCUUAUAAUUUCUGGUGAUCUUAUGUUCCUAGUUUGCAUAUAGGGUGCCGACUCAGAUAUAAGUAUGUUUCGUUUCAUAGAACUAGAAUAUAGACUUCUGGAUACUGACCACUUAAUUGCAAUAAAACAUUGGUUCUGUAAUUCUGAUUACACCUGCAUGAGUCAAGUACAGUUUCAAGUGCCAAAACAAUAUCCACUUCUGGUGAUAAGAUUAACCUAUUCAAUAACUAGUGAAAUGGGAAACAGCAUUGUCGAUAGUGAGUUACAGCUCUCUUGGCUUAAAAGGAGAGAAAACUCUCCAUAUGUGUGUGUAAACAUGUAAAUAUAAUUUAUUUAUCAAAUGUAUGCAGGUUGGAGAUUUGCUGAACUUCUUGAGCGCGGUGUUUUUUGGGGUUCAUAUGCUUAGAACAGAGCAUAUAUCAAGAAACACAAAGAAAGAAAACUUCUUGCCUCUGCUUGGAUAUGAGGUUAGUAUAUCAUUUUCGCCCAUGUAGUUAGUAUAUCUUCUUUGAUGCUCUGCAAGACUGCAACUAACCUUGGUUUCAUUUAGAUAUGCGUUGUUGCUUUCUUAUCAACAAUAUGGUACGUCAUUGGGGCAUGGUCUGGUGGUGGCCUCCACGACUUUAACCCAUCAUUGUGGACAUGGGAGAUGUUCAGGGAGUGGAUGGUUGUGUUUCCAUGGAUACCUGCACUGUACACAGGCAUAUUCUCCACUGUUUUAUGCUUAUGGGUAGAGGUAUGUGCAAAUGCUCUACUCUAAGACUGAAUAAUUUGUUCUCACAUUGCUCAAGUUGCUUGGGAAGUUGUUGGGAUACUUGCUUAUCUACAUUACAAUAAUAUAUGAAUUGUAGUGGUGCCAUGAAUUUUCUAGCAUUAUGAAAUUUCAAACACCCCUUUUUCAGCUCAGUUUUUUAACAGAAGAUUAUAUUUAACAGAUGGCCGCAAUGUGUGACGUAUCAGCCACAGAAACAGCAAUAAUUUAUGGUUUGGAACCUGUCUGGGGUGCUGGUUUUGCAUGGUUUCUCCUUGGCGAAAGAUGGGGUUCUACUGGCUGGAUUGGUGCUGCUCUUGUGCUUGGUAAAUUACUAUUGAUUUUCAUGAUCUAGUCAGCUUAAGAUACAAAAUAUCUUCAAAUUUUUUCAUUUGUUUACCAUCAAUUAUCUUUGUUAUUAGAUUACCAAAGUAAUAAAAGUGCUUCAGGUAGAAUUGCUGUCAGCAGCGAAGGACUAUUGAUCUACUACUAAAUGACAUAUUACAUCAGCUGUUAACCUUUUUAUCACUUUGUAUGGUAGAAAACUUCUGUUGCUUAUACUAGUAAUAAAAAGGAAGAGUAAUUUUUGCAUCAUAUUAACGCAUACUACACAUGCUUGGUUCUUGUUUCUCUGCAGGUGGAAGCUUAACAGUUCAGAUAUUUGGAUCAACAUCUCCCGCGGAGCCUUCAAAAGAUGAAUUGAAAGCUAAGAGACUCACUUUCCCAGUGGUUUCAGAUAAACACAAUGGCUUGUCUGCCUCACCCGUUGUAGUGAGUUCCAGAAAGGAUACACCUGAUCUGCGGAAUAAGUAAUUAACUAAGCCAUUUCUUAUGUCAGCUUCGCCUAUUCUCAGUUUUAGAUAAACAGACCACGCUCUCUAACGACAAUUCUGUUGUCACAUCACUCUCCUUGUAAUUAUGUAGCUUAUAAUCUGAAUCUCGAUUUAGGAUAGCUAAGUAAUGGAGCUUGAGGGCUCUCAGCUUUGUAUAGUUGUAUGUAGGGAGAGCUUCCAAUGAGGAUCUUAUAAUGAGGACCAAGUGAGGACUUUUAAAUGAAUGGUUGGAUGAUAUGCACAUGAGAAUUAGAAAAUAUCAAUUAAAAGUCAAAACCUUGAUCCAACCGUUCAUUUAAAAGUCCUCACUUGGUCCUUAUUAUAAGGUCCUCAUUGGAAGCUCUCCCGUUGUAUGUAUACCAGCAAUUAUUCCACAAUAAUAUGAACUCCAUUCACAAUAUACUAGUGUAGGUAUCAUCAUUUAUUACCGUAAGAAACACCCGACUGUAUGUCGUUCGGAAUACACUGAUUCAAAUUAAGAAGAAAGAAAUACACUAAUUCAUCUUUAUAUUCAGUACUCAACCUUGGCUAACAAAGGCGUACCUACACACAAGCUACGGUGGACUACAGCCCACCGCAGAAUUUGAUAAAACAUUGUUUUGUUGCAUAAUUAUAGUUAAAAAAAAAAAGUUAAAUUAUGAAAACAAGCCCACUCUAUACUUAGUCUAUAUGUAAUUAAACUUAGUUCAUAUGACAUUUUUUUUUGAAUUAAAUUCAGUUUACCCCCAUGAGGUUUGGGAGUAACUUUAUAUUAAUCCCUAUACUUUCAAUUUCAUCAGUUUACCCCUCAAACUUUUGAAUUUCCCUUAACCGUGACCAAUGUCUCAUCUUCUGUCCAAAUCAGACGUUAAUUGCUGACGUGGACCCAAUCUCAUGAGUUAAAUUAUGUUUGUACCCGAAGCUUAGAAAAUUUUCAACUUAGUUAGGGAUAAAAAGGAAUGAUUUUUUAAUUUUUUUUUCACUAGUUUUUUUGUUAAAUGACAAUUUUAAUCUUAACAAUGGGGCUCGUAUCUAGAAUUAACGAUCAAUUCAAACAAAAUAUAAGAAUUUGGUCACGACAGACAAAAAUUCAAGAGUUCAGGGGGUAAACUGAUGAAAUUAAAAGUGUAGGGAUUAACAUGAAGUUACCCUCAAACCAUAAGAGGGUAAACUGAAUUUUUUUAUCUGAUUACAUAUAUAUUAUUUAUUUUAUUAAAAGCAGUUGCUCCUUUUGUAUAUUUUGGGUCAACUUUCUUCUCUUUAUUUCUUUUUCUUUGUCGUUGUAUACGUCUCCAUUCUCUUCUGCCGAAACAGCUAAGCCAAGUGUCAAACUUUCUCUCUUUAAUCUUCAUGUAUGGUUCUUAGUUAUAUUGAUCAUCCUCUUAAAGUCUUGUACGUGUGAUAUGACCUAGUUCUCAAAUCUCAAUUGAUUAAUGCCUUGAUCAAAUUUAGUCUCAAUAUCCCAUCAUCUCAAAUCUCAAUUGAUUAAUGUCUUGAUCAAAUUUAGUCCCAAUAUCCCAUUAUCUCAAAUCUCAAUUGAUUAAUCCCUUGAUAGUCCCAAUAUCUCAUCAGGACUGUCUUUCUAUUGAUAAUCUAAUUCUAAUCUCAAUUAUUGUAUAUGACUAAUGCUAAUGAUGUGAUAUAUAUAGAUAUAUAGUUGUAAUCAGGGCCCUUCCACUAAGGGAUCUCUUAUUAUGACUUAUAUGAGGGAUUGAGCAUUAGCCCAACUUUUUGAUCACAUAUCAACAUCUCCACCAUUCAACCUCUAGGUAUAUAUGAGUAGAUCAUUUUUGAAAAUUUUCAGCCAAAUUGGUGAUCUUUAAGGCUUCAAACUGGCUUAAAUCAAUGGACUGUUCAAAUCUGUCAAUCAUGAACCGUUCAUGAAAAUUGCAGUUUUGAGCACCUUAACGAUCAUCAAUUUAGAUGAAAUUUUGCAGAAGUGAUCUACAUAUUAGGACCUAAAAACUGAAUGGUUAAGAUUGAAAAAUGUGAUCGAAAAGUUAGUCUAAUGCUCAAUCCCUCAUAUAAGUCAUAAUAAGGGAUCCCUUAGUGGAAGGGCCAUGUAGUUGUAAUAGUACCAACAUUUGAUUCAUAGUUAUUAGAAUAUGUUAUCCCGUCGAGUUAGGUUUAAGGAUUAUAUACUCAUUUACUGUAUUGUUAGAGCGGUGUAAGUAUGUUCUUUUGUCUUUAACUUUUGUUAUCGAAUUUUUAUAAAAUGUUAUAAUAUUGAUUUCUUAAUUAUCAGUUAACUAUGUCAUUUUUUUGAUAUGUUUUUAAUUUAAGAUGUGAUAUGUAGAAUAUAAAAAAAAAAAAUUUAAACUCACCCCAACCUAAUAUCUUAGACAGGGCUGCUCACCUGCGAGACACAAUUUAAGGGAAAAAAGGGGCGAAUCGAUCUCAGCCGUUGGAUCUUUAAUGAAUAUAUCUUACGGUUAUCAAGGAAACACGAUCUCAUGCCAAUUAUCUUUUGUUCAUCUUCUUCCCUCAUCUCACCUCUUCGCAAACUUAGCAACCCAUAUCUUUUCAUCUUCUUCUCUCAUCUCAGGAUUUCUCAACAUCCCAUACGUGGGUUCUUAGAAGCCUCACAUAUUCUUUUCUAAUACGAGUGGUGUAACUUGAAAUCAACAUGUAAAAAAGAACCGUGAGGAUGCUCUUUAUAUAUGCUAAAUUCGAAUAAGAAAGGGAGAAAUUAAUUUGAAGAUAGACAAAUCCCAUGAAAUAGAGGAUGUGCUUUCGUCCGCCCGUUGUGCCUGGAUUCAAACCCAAGAUACAAUCUUCUUCGAAUUUGUCGAGUCUCUUAUUUCUCAUACAAUUGGAACAGAGCAUAUGUGUGUAUAUUUUUAAGAGCAUAUAACAUGGUUAAAAAGAAAUUUCUGAGAGGAGAAGAAUGAAAUAGAAUUGGGUUUAGAGAUAUAUGAGAGGAGAAGAGUAUGAACUGAUCUGGGUAUGGCUUAGAGAGGUGAGAGGUGAGAGGCGAGAGAUGAGAGGAGAGGAAACAUGGAUCUGCAGAAGUUGAAUAACAACAAUUCGAUUGGAUGGUGGCUGCCAUGAGAACCGUAGGAUGUGUUCAUUAAAGAUCCAACGGCUGAGGUUGAUUCAUCCCUUUUUGUCCCUUAAAUUGUGUCCCGCAGGUGAGCAGCCCUGAUAUCCUAGGUCCGCCAUUGUUGGCCAACAUAUUGCUGCUAAGUAUUCGUCUUCUAGUUCCAUUUCCACGCCUAAAAUCCGUCUCCAACAUGAUCAUCUCUAUCAAAUUGGUACUUAAUCUUGGCCAACACGAUCAGGUUCUGCUGCAAAAUGUUCGUCUUCUAGUUCCAUUUUCAAACCUUUCUUAAUUUCGUGUUGCCUUGUUUCAAAUAGUUGACUCUAUCAACUUGAUUAAUAUCAAUUUGGAUACACACCCUACGCCUUAACAUAAUCUAAAUAGUUAUUUAUUAAGAAUGUACGUAGGAGACUUGUUGGAUUUGCUCUAACCGAUCGAAUCAAAGUUCUUGUUGAUCGAAUGAGGAUGAGUCUGUAGCAAAUCGAUUUUCACGAGUAAGACAUCACUCUCAGAUGAUUUUCUUGUCAUGCAAUCUCACAUACAGUUGCCUGCAGUCAUUAUCUUUUAGUUUCAAUAAUACAAUUUAAGAGACGGUACGUAUGGGAGUUGGCGAUGAUUUCUUAAAAACAACAAAAUAAUGCAAUAAUAUCAAAAAAUAAUUAGAUUAUCCAACAGUGAACAUGUCAGUAUUACGAUCAUCUCGCACUCUGCAGUGUUAACAAUUUUCAAUUGAAAAAAGGGAGAUUGAUUGUUGCUGAGAUAUGAUAAGACCAAUGAUAAGAUCUGAUUUAUUGAGACCAUGUGAAGCAUUACAUGUUUUUCAGAAGGUAAAUCAUAUACAAUACCUAAUAAUUUAGCUGAAACUGUAGUGGAAUUAAUAUAUUAAUGUUCUCUAAGUUCUUGCCCUAUUAUAUAUAGCACACAAGAUUGGUACGUUGUAUACCGCGAUCAUAUGAACUUAGGGUUCUGAUCAGUAGUAAAAAUAUCAAUCAAAAAGUACCGAUCGAUAAUCAAACAUGUCUCUUCAAGGUAAGGUGGAAGCUGAAUUUGAAAUCACAGCACCUGCUGACAAGUUCUACAACAUUUUCAAGAUUGAGGCUCACCUAGUCCCAAACACUUCUCAAACUGGCAGUAUAACUGGAGUUGCAGUGCAUGAAGGAGACUGGGAAACUGACGGGUCUAUUAAGAUUUGGAACUAUGCAAUAGGUAAGCCAUUAUAUGCGUAAUUGUUCGAUCUGUUAUUAGACUGUACAUGACCAAAGCUGCCUCUGAAAAAUUAGGUAGGUGAUGUAGAGGUUUUCAGUUAUAAUUGUUUUACAGUGAUUUUAACUCUCUUGUUAAUAUAGAGGGCGAAGUGGGAACAUUCAAGGAGAGGGUGGAGUUAGACGAGGUGAACAAGACCAUAACUCUGAAUGGAUUGGAAGGAGAUGUGUUUCAGUAUUACAAGAGCUUCAAGCCUAUCUAUCAGUUCACUCAAAAGGAUGAGGGCAGCAGCAUUGCCAAAGUGUCCAUUGAAUAUGAGAAGCUGAGUGAGGAGGUUGCAGCUCCAGAUAAGUACAUCCGCUUGAUGACUAACAUCGUCAAGGAUCUUGAUGCCCACUUCGUCAAGGCCUAAAGAAGGAAUAAUUAGCAUGCAAUACGAAAGCUAUAGCUCUCGCUAUUGCUACUGCAUGCUGGUUUUGUAAAAUUAAAAACAAAUAAUCAUCUAGUACUGUUGUGGUGUUCUAAUUUUGAUGCUAAGUAUAUAUCACCAUUGNGAUGAAUAAAUGUGUGAACGGUGAUAUUGAUAUGUAUAUGGUAUAUGUAUNNNNNNNNNNNNNNNNNNNNNNNNNNNNNNNNNNNNNNNNNNNNNNNNNNNNNNNNNNNNNNNNNNNNNNNNNNNNNNNNNNNNNNNNNNNNNNNNNNNNNNNNNNNNNNNNNNNNNNNNNNNNNNNNNNNNNNNNNNNNNNNNNNNNNNNNNNNNNNNNNNNNNNNNNNNNNNNNNNNNNNNNNNNNNNNNNNNNNNNNNNNNNNNNNNNNNNNNNNNNNNNNNNNNNNNNNNNNNNNNNNNNNNNNNNNNNNNNNNNNNNNNNNNNNNNNNNNNNNNNNNNNNNNNNNNNNNNNNNNNNNNNNNNNNNNNNNNNNNNNNNNNNNNNNNNNNNNNNNNNNNNNNNNNNNNNNNNNNNNNNNUAUUCAUCAUGUUGCGACCAAGACUAACUAUAUAGCUCAUACAGCAGCAGGCAACAUUUUCAUGAUAAGAAACGUCCAUUUGUAUACUUCAAAAAAAAAACGUCCAUUUGUAAUCUAACUAAUGUUCGAUGUCAACCAUAUUAUUGUUGGCAGCUACCAAACAAACUAUUUUGAUCGGUCUACAUAUAAAUGGAGCUGGCUGUGAAGUAGCCAAAUGAUUCCCUUUACAUGCGAGCAUGCCUGGCCAAAAUACUGGAUCUACUGUGAGCACAGAUGAGUAGCUUGGAGAUUCAUUCUCGGAGAUCGAUCAUUCAGUGUGGACGCUUAUCUAUGCCGGCCUCUACUAGCAAACAUAACACGUGAAGACACUAAUAGUUCUAGAUUUGGUAGGGUUUAGACGCUUAGAGCCUAUCUGGGGUGGUUUCGCAUGUUUCGCUUACCCAUCCCACAUGCAUUUACAAUAUUGGUGAGAUUUGGAUUCAUCAUUUCUACGAUAUUAGUUAAAUUAGAAAACAAUUACGCCGCAGCUCACAGACAAUUAAUUACGUUAUAGUUGAAUACUUGAAUUAGAAAGAGUUUGUAUGUAGCUACAUAUCAUGAAGAGUAAGUAAACCAUCACUCUUAAGAGAUUUUCUUGUCUGUCAUAUAAUCUAACAGCUGUCUGGCGUAUGUUAUUAAUUAUCUUAUUUUUAUUUCAAUAAUACAAUUAAAAAAGGGUAAAUAUGGGAGUUGGUGAUGACUUAUGAUUCUAAAAACAACGAAGUAACCAAUUAGAAUAUCUAAAAGAAAUAUAUAAAAUUAAAAAUUAUAAAAAAAGCUAGCCUUUAAGAUACCGUGAACUAAUCUAAAAAGUGCGNNNNNNNNNNNNNNNNNNNNAAUCAUAUGAUAAUAUCAAUAAUAGGAGGACCAUGUGAAGCGCAUGUUUACUGAAAUGAAAUUAAUAGUACCUAAUAAUUUAGCUGAAAGCGUAGUGGAAUUGAUCGACGUUAUCUGAUAGUUCUGCCUUCUGCCCCCUAUUAUAUAUAGCAAACAAGAUGGGUAGCUUAUCGGCAUAUCGCGAUCAUAUACUUUGGGUUCUGAUCAGUAUCAUAUCGAUCACAUCACAGAGUACCGAAAAUCAAACAUGUCUCUUCAAGGUAAGUUAGAGACUGAAUUUGAAAUCACAGCACCUGCUGACAAGUUCUACAACAUCUUCAAGAGUGAGGCUCACCACAUCCCUAACACUUCUCAAACCGGCACCAUAACUGGAGUUGCGGUGCAUGAAGGAGACUGGGAAACUGAAGGAUCUAUCAAGAUUUGGAGUUAUUCAAUAGGUAAGCCAUUAUGUACGUAAAUGUUCAAUCUGUUAUAUAUAAGACUGUUAAUUUUAACCAUAUAUUAACCAAAGCAGCUGGUUCUGAAUCACUCGACAGGUUGAGAUAUCAGGAACGGUUGAGAUUUUCAGUUAUAAUUAUUGUUACAGUGAUUAUUUUCGUGUUUAUAUAUAGAGGGGGAAGUGGGAACUUUCAAGGAAAAGGUGGAGCACGACGACGUGAACAAGGCCAUAAUUGUGAAUGGGUUGGAAGGAGAUGUGUUUAAGUAUUACAAGACCUUCAAGGGCAUCUAUCAGUUCAAUCAAAAGGAUGAUGGCAGCAACAUUGCCAAACUGACCCUCGAAUAUGAGAAGCUGAGUGAGGAGGUUGCAGUUCCAGAUAAGUACGUUCGCUUGAUGACUAACCUCGUCAAGGAUCUUGAUGCCCACUUCGUCAAGGCCUAAGGGGGGAAGAAUUAUAUAGCAUGCAAUACGAGAGCUACGUAUAAUGAAUAGCUACUACUGUGUGCUGGUUGUGUGAAGGUUAAGAAUAAUAAUCUGUUGUAGUGCAUGCUUUAUCUGGUUAUGAGUACAAUAGCGUACAGGUACUGUCGUCUUUUUAUGCGAGUAUAUAUCACCAUUGUGAUGAAUAAAUGUUUGAACGAUGAUAUUUUGAUGUUUCGUAUAUGUAUCAAGUUUGUAAGGUUUGAUUUCCAUCAAAUACAUUGAAGUUUGCCG